CAGUAGCCGCGGGAAAACGUAGGGUGCAAGCGUUAAUCGGAAUUACUGGGCGUAAAGCGUGCGCAGGCGGUUUGUUAAGACAGAUGUGAAAUCCCCGGGCUCAACCUGGGAACUGCAUUUGUGACUGGCAAGCUAGAGUAUGGCAGAGGGGGGUGGAAUUCCGCGUGUAGCAGUGAAAUGCGUAGAUAUGCGGAGGAACACCGAUGGCGAAGGCAAUCCCCUGGACCUGUACUGACGCUCAUGCACGAAAGCGUGGGGAGCAAACAGGAUUAGAGACCCCCGUAGUCCCUGUCUCUUAUAC
This 301-nucleotide ribosomal RNA is filed under the name uncultured bacterium. Its description in RNAcentral is "partial 16S ribosomal RNA". It matches the Rfam family "Bacterial small subunit ribosomal RNA", at positions 509 to 807 of the family's 1533-position model. The record is from RNAcentral.